UUGAAGAGUUUGAUCAUGGCUCAGAUUGAACGCUGGCGGCAGGCCUAACACAUGCAAGUCGAGCGGUAGCACAGAGAGCUUGCUCUCGGGUGACGAGCGGCGGACGGGUGAGUAAUGUCUGGGAAACUGCCUGAUGGAGGGGGAUAACUACUGGAAACGGUAGCUAAUACCGCAUAAUGUCGCAAGACCAAAGAGGGGGACCUUCGGGCCUCUUGCCAUCAGAUGUGCCCAGAUGGGAUUAGCUAGUAGGUGGGGUAACGGCUCACCUAGGCGACGAUCCCUAGCUGGUCUGAGAGGAUGACCAGCCACACUGGAACUGAGACACGGUCCAGACUCCUACGGGAGGCAGCAGUGGGGAAUAUUGCACAAUGGGCGCAAGCCUGAUGCAGCCAUGCCGCGUGUAUGAAGAAGGCCUUCGGGUUGUAAAGUACUUUCAGCGGGGAGGAAGGCGAUAAGGUUAAUAACCUUGUCGAUUGACGUUACCCGCAGAAGAAGCACCGGCUAACUCCGUGCCAGCAGCCGCGGUAAUACGGAGGGUGCAAGCGUUAAUCGGAAUUACUGGGCGUAAAGCGCACGCAGGCGGUCUGUCAAGUCGGAUGUGAAAUCCCCGGGCUCAACCUGGGAACUGCAUUCGAAACUGGCAGGCUAGAGUCUUGUAGAGGGGGGUAGAAUUCCAGGUGUAGCGGUGAAAUGCGUAGAGAUCUGGAGGAAUACCGGUGGCGAAGGCGGCCCCCUGGACAAAGACUGACGCUCAGGUGCGAAAGCGUGGGGAGCAAACAGGAUUAGAUACCCUGGUAGUCCACGCCGUAAACGAUGUCGACUUGGAGGUUGUGCCCUUGAGGCGUGGCUUCCGGAGCUAACGCGUUAAGUCGACCGCCUGGGGAGUACGGCCGCAAGGUUAAAACUCAAAUGAAUUGACGGGGGCCCGCACAAGCGGUGGAGCAUGUGGUUUAAUUCGAUGCAACGCGAAGAACCUUACCUACUCUUGACAUCCAGAGAACUUUCCAGAGAUGGAUUGGUGCCUUCGGGAACUCUGAGACAGGUGCUGCAUGGCUGUCGUCAGCUCGUGUUGUGAAAUGUUGGGUUAAGUCCCGCAACGAGCGCAACCCUUAUCCUUUGUUGCCAGCGGUUAGGCCGGGAACUCAAAGGAGACUGCCAGUGAUAAACUGGAGGAAGGUGGGGAUGACGUCAAGUCAUCAUGGCCCUUACGAGUAGGGCUACACACGUGCUACAAUGGCGCAUACAAAGAGAAGCGACCUCGCGAGAGCAAGCGGACCUCAUAAAGUGCGUCGUAGUCCGGAUUGGAGUCUGCAACUCGACUCCAUGAAGUCGGAAUCGCUAGUAAUCGUAGAUCAGAAUGCUACGGUGAAUACGUUCCCGGGCCUUGUACACACCGCCCGUCACACCAUGGGAGUGGGUUGCAAAAGAAGUAGGUAGCUUAACCUUCGGGAGGGCGCUUACCACUUUGUGAUUCAUGACUGGGGUGAAGUCGUAACAAGGUAACCGUAGGGGAACCUGCGGUUGGAUCACCUCCUU
Molecule: ribosomal RNA, 1536 nt
Filed under: Enterobacter cloacae
Lineage: Bacteria; Pseudomonadati; Pseudomonadota; Gammaproteobacteria; Enterobacterales; Enterobacteriaceae
Description: bacterial SSU rRNA
Rfam family: Bacterial small subunit ribosomal RNA
Source: RNAcentral